AGAAGCCCUAAGCUUGCCCAUUUGGGCAGAGGGACCUUCCUCCCAUGGUGACUGCAACCCUUUUAAAUGUAGUAAUGCUCUGCCCAUCUGCACUUGCUCCUGUUGUGGUAAGUCUGAACAGGCCAAGAUAGACUGGAAUGUGUCCCAGCUUGCCCAGACACAUCUCUCUGCUCUCCUCCCUCCUGCUCCGGGAAGAAUUAACAGCGAGGAAGAAGACAAAGGGCCUGGAGGCACUGAGUUGUAGGACCAGGAUGUUGGUAUCUGUUUGGUGCCAUCUCUGCAAGACCUUCAAUCCUGCCUUUGAUUUAAUGUUCUUUUAUGCUUUCCUCAUACACCUGCUGUUCAGUAUCAGGGGUUCAGAUUCUACAGAAUGACAAGAUAAUGACUUUCUUGCCUUUUGAAUUUAAGAAGCACCACCAUGUAGUAUUCCUACUGCAAUUAAUUCAUGACUGCAUUUUCCCCUUCAGAAUUUCAUCUUUGCUGAAAAAC
Long non-coding RNA from Pogoniulus pusillus (Red-fronted tinkerbird), 489 nucleotides. RefSeq lists it as uncharacterized. The transcript has 4 exons. NCBI's taxonomy places the organism in Eukaryota, Metazoa, Chordata, Aves, Piciformes, Lybiidae. The record is from RefSeq and is a predicted model, not a curated record.